RNAcentral lists this ribosomal RNA (375 nucleotides) under uncultured bacterium. Its description in RNAcentral is "bacterial SSU rRNA". It matches the Rfam family "Bacterial small subunit ribosomal RNA", at positions 524 to 898 of the family's 1533-position model. The record is from RNAcentral.
UACGAAGGGGGCGAGCGUUGUUCGGAUUUACUGGGCGUAAAGGGCGCGUAGGCGGCGCCGCAAGUCGCGUGUGAAAGCCCCGGGCUCAACCUGGGAGGUGCGCGCGAGACUGUGGUGCUGGAGUUCGGGAGAGGAGCGUGGAAUUCCCAGUGUAGAGGUGAAAUUCGUAGAUAUUGGGAAGAACACCGGUGGCGAAGGCGGCGCUCUGGACCGAGACUGACGCUGAGGCGCGAAGGCGUGGGGAGCAAACAGGAUUAGAUACCCUGGUAGUCCACGCGGUAAACGAUGUGUGCUAGACGUUGGGGAGCCUAGCUCUUCGGUGUCGCAGCUAACGCUUUAAGCACACCGCCUGGGGAGUACGGCCGCAAGGUUAAA